RNAcentral lists this transfer RNA (81 nucleotides) under bacterium. RNAcentral's name for it is "tRNA-Leu". It matches the Rfam family "tRNA". Rfam says of the family: Transfer RNA (tRNA) molecules are approximately 80 nucleotides in length. Their secondary structure includes four short double-helical elements and three loops (D, anti-codon, and T loops). Further hydrogen bonds mediate the characteristic L-shaped molecular structure. tRNAs have two regions of fundamental functional importance: the anti-codon, which is responsible for specific mRNA codon recognition, and the 3' end, to which the tRNAs corresponding amino acid is attached (by aminoacyl-tRNA synthetases). tRNAs cope with the degeneracy of the genetic code in two manners: having more than one tRNA (with a specific anti-codon) for a particular amino acid; and 'wobble' base-pairing, i.e. permitting non-standard base-pairing at the 3rd anti-codon position. The record is from RNAcentral.
GGGCGAGUGGCGGAAUGGUAUACGCGCAUGGCUUAGGACCAUGUCCCGCAAGGGGUGAGAGUUCGAGUCUCUCCUCGCCCA